This 460-nucleotide ribosomal RNA is filed under the name uncultured bacterium. RNAcentral's name for it is "partial 16S ribosomal RNA". It matches the Rfam family "Bacterial small subunit ribosomal RNA", at positions 338 to 795 of the family's 1533-position model. The record is from RNAcentral.
CCUACGGGAGGCAGCAGUGAGGAAUAUUGGUCAAUGGACGCAAGUCUGAACCAGCCAAGCCGCGUGAAGGAAGACGGUUCUGUGAGUUGUAAACUGCUUUUGUCAGGGGGCAAACGCGGAUACGCGUCUCCGUCUGACAGUAUCUUACGAAUAAGCAUCGGCUAACUCCGUGCCAGCAGCCGCGGUAAUACGGAGGAUUCCAGCGUUAUCCGGAUUUAUUGGGGUUAAAGGGUGCGUAGGCGGUCGGUUAAGUCAGCGGUGAAAUCCCGGGGCUCAACCCCGGAACUGCCUUUGAAACUGGCAGUCUAGAGAGGAGUAGAGGUAGGCGGAAUGUGUGGUGUAGCGGUGAAAUGCAUAGAUAUCAUGCAGAACACCGAUUGCGAAGGCAGCUUACCGGGCGAAUUCUGACGGUGAGGCACGAAAGCGUGGGGAGCGAACAGGAUUAGAUACCCGGGUAGUC